Molecule: small RNA, 562 nt
Filed under: Pongo abelii (Sumatran orangutan)
Lineage: Eukaryota; Metazoa; Chordata; Mammalia; Primates; Hominidae
Description: retained intron
Source: RNAcentral
ACCUGGUUUAUUAUUUAGAGGCCAGACUGAUGUGACUUAAUAGUGGAGCAUUUGACUCAUAAAGGAACUGUUGUAGAAGUAAUACCUUUUCUUUUUACUUUUCAGGUUUACAAGUAAAAGUAACCAAGCUAAAACAGGAACGAAUCUUAGAUGCACAAAGACUAGAAGAAUUCUUCACCAAAAAUCAACAGCUGAGGGAACAGCAGAAAGUCCUUCAUGAAACCAUUAAAGUUUUAGAAGAUCGGUGAGUCUGGCACUUAGGUCUUGAGUAAGAAGUGAUUUCCUCCAUAAUAAGGAGAACAUUGACUUUCAUUUGUAAUUAGUUUUGGGAUUGAAAGUGAUCUUUCCCACAGCGUUCUCUCACCUUUGAAUGAAUACUUUAUGAAAAUAAGGAUCUAUUCUUAAAGAUUUUCAUUCUGAGAUCACAUCAGUUUACCCUUUAAAUGAUAUCUUUAUCUGGUGUUUGAUGUAGUGGAAGCUCAGGGGUAGCAAUGUUCUAAUUCAUUUAAUGCUUUAAUUCCAGUUUUACUUCUAAGUAGGUGGAAACUGCUUCACAAUUCUG